Molecule: ribosomal RNA, 544 nt
Filed under: Clostridium sp. enrichment culture clone M8C3
Lineage: Bacteria; Bacillati; Bacillota; Clostridia; Eubacteriales; Clostridiaceae
Description: bacterial SSU rRNA
Rfam family: Bacterial small subunit ribosomal RNA
Source: RNAcentral
UGGGGAAUAUUGCACAAUGGGGGAAACCCUGAUGCAGCAACGCCGCGUGAGUGAUGAAGGUCUUCGGAUCGUAAAGCUCUGUCUUCAGGGACGAUAAUGACGGUACCUGAGGAGGAAGCCACGGCUAACUACGUGCCAGCAGCCGCGGUAAUACGUAGGUGGCGAGCGUUGUCCGGAUUUACUGGGCGUAAAGGGAGCGUAGGCGGACUUUUAAGUGAGAUGUGAAAUACCCGGGCUCAACUUGGGUGCUGCAUUUCAAACUGGAAGUCUAGAGUGCAGGAGAGGAGAGUGGAAUUCCUAGUGUAGCGGUGAAAUGCGUAGAGAUUAGGAAGAACACCAGUGGCGAAGGCGACUCUCUGGACUGUAACUGACGCUGAGGCUCGAAAGCGUGGGGAGCAAACAGGAUUAGAUACCCUGGUGGUCCACGCCGUAAACGAUGAAUACUAGGUGUAGGGGUUGUCAUGACCUCUGUGCCGCCGCAAACGCAUUAAGUAUUCCGCCUGGGGAGUACGGUCGCAAGAUUAAAACUCAAAGGAAUGGACGG